This 296-nucleotide long non-coding RNA is filed under the name Sphenodon punctatus (tuatara). Its description in RNAcentral is "WT1 antisense RNA conserved region 7 (ENSSPUG00000004530.1)". It matches the Rfam family "WT1 antisense RNA conserved region 7". The record is from RNAcentral. Lineage: Eukaryota; Metazoa; Chordata; Lepidosauria; Sphenodontia; Sphenodontidae.
AAAUAAUAUGCCACAGCCAAGUGUUCCCAUGCUCAGAAGUUUGGUGGAGCUGUCUCUAUUAUUUUACCGUAAAUCUUGAAAACCCUGGAACUAAUUAUAUCGCGGAUAUGUCUCAAUUUGUUCUGCAUUAAUGCCACUUUGGGAAUGAAGUGCGGGCCAUGGCCAGAGCAGAUACUCGAGCAGCACAUGAAAUUGAUGAGCUGAGACUCGCGGCUAGCCCUGCGCCGCACCAUCUGGAAUUCCAGUCUGAGGUUACGAGGAGAGUUUCUGACCCCGGAUUCAACUCUGCCGAGAAC